Molecule: non-coding RNA, 1500 nt
Organism: Meleagris gallopavo (turkey)
Lineage: Eukaryota; Metazoa; Chordata; Aves; Galliformes; Phasianidae
Source: RefSeq, a predicted model, not a curated record
GGGAGGAGCGGGGCUGGGCGCAGAGGCGGCUGCUUGAUGCCGUUCGGCGGAGGCUCCCGCCCUGCCAGCUCCUCACCUGUUUAAGCUGCAAAGAAGAGUGCUCUUUGCUGAAGCUGAUGUGACUGAGAAGAUAUCCUGGAGGUUGGGACUGAAUGGAAGGCUGGAAGGAAACCUGGGAGUUUCAGAAGGUAUGCAUGGCCAGUGAGGAGCUUCUCAGUGAACUAGAACUCAAGAAGAGGCAGAAACAAGGACAGGCAGCAAAACAGAAAUUAAAAAGCAGUGUUAGGUACUUAGCGUCAAAAUCAGAAAGGCCAAAACAGAGCUGGAGCUGAGACUGCUGAGGAGAACUGAUGGGAACAAGAGAGAUUCUGCAAAAUGCUAGUUGGAAAAGGAUGUUCAGGGAAAAUAAGCUCUUAAUGAGAAUAGAUGACAGUGAAAAAGCUAAAUUACUCUAUGUCUUUUUUUCUACCACCUUCGGAGCAAAAACCUACUUUCAUAGUGCUUGCAUAGUACAAGAAAUUAACAGCCAGCAGGGGAGGGCCAACUUAGACACUAGAGAAACAGCAUCUGUUCAGAUCCAUUGGGUUUCUCCCACAAGCUGAUGGGAAGCCUUCUUGAUCCUGUGGUCACGAUUGGGAUACCACUGCCAAUCUUUAAAAGAGGCAAGAAGAAUGGCUCAGGGAACUAUAAAAUAGUCAGAUUCACCUCAAGCAGUCUAAAGGAGAUGGAACAUUUAGUCAGGGGCAGUCAGCCCUGGAAGAUAAGCCCUGUAUGAGCUGCCUAAUAUGGUAGAAUGACUGGCUCUAUGGACAAGGGCAGAGUAGUGGGUGUAAUGUACCUUGAUUAGAGUAUGCCCUUUGGUACCACAGCCCCAGCCUUCCCCUCUAGAAACUGAAGAAAGAUAGACCGGACAAACAGACUUUUAGAUGGACUGAAAGCUGUAUGGAUCAUGAGCCUGUAAGGAUAGCAGUCAAUAAGUCAACAUUUGGCUGUUAAUUAGCAAAGUUCCCUGGGGUCCAUAUUGGCACCCGUAUUCACGCCUUUAUUGACAAUGUGAUGGCAGUGCAGAAUUCAUUCCCAGCAGAUCUGCAGAUAGCACUAAAUUAGGGAAAUGGAAAAUUCAGCCCACACACACUCUGAGACCUUCAAGGAUUGGACAGAGAUCUUGUGAUCCAUAUAAGAGGUAUGAAAUUCUGCACCUGGAACAGCUGGAAUAAUCCUCUUGAUGGGUACAUGCUGGGAAGCAACUGACUGGGCAAUAGUUCUGAGGGUUACAGUGUGCUCCAGAUUGAAUGUGAGCACUCAACUUGCUCUUGUAAAAGAAGCCAAGAUAUAUUAGAAGCAUGGCCAAUACAUCCAAGGAACUUUGCUGAUCAUUUCUACCUGGUAUUGGUGAGGCCGUAUCUGAAACGCUGUGUACAUUUUUUUAUACCUCUUGUCAGGAGGGAUGUAACAUCUAACAGGAGAGUUCAGUGGAGAGCUUGUCCCCCAGGGGUCUGU